ACAGCUGCUGUGUGCAUCCUGCGGGGACGCUGUUGUAAAGUGCUUUGUCAGAGGAAUGAUGGCUAGCGCCUUUCUGUGCCCCCUCCUCCAGAAGACGCGCAGGGCUCGGGUCCUGCCGGCUGCCCGGCCGCCCGCUCAACGAAGAGGAAGCGACCGCAGGCGGCAGAAGCGCAUCGUCCCGCGUGCGGCGGAAGCCCAUUACCCUCUGCAGAAGGAGCACCGAGCGACUGCCUGAAACAAGCAGCAGCCGUUUUCAAAACCAAACAUUUAGCAGAACAUUGGGUCAGGGUUAAUUUGCAGCUGCAAAGAUGAGUUUGACCCUGUGGGACUUGAUGACCUCUAAGGUCCUUUCCAGCUCCAAGUCAUCCAGAAGGAGACAAGAAACAGCUCCUGACAGGCAGCUCGACCACCACCACCACCUUGACCCUUGCCUCUCCUCAGAUCCCAGCGGAGGCAGCCCAGGACCUGAACCCACCUCCCCUCCCCAAGGGAAGAAGUCCCCAUGGAGAUGGGGUCCACUUUCCUGGCCACUACCCAAAGUUGACCACCAGCACAAGAGCCCUGGGAAUGGUAGCACCCCACAAACCCCACAAACUGGGCUUGCCUCCAGUGCAGUGAUAAUCCCAGGAAAUAACCCCUCUGGGGCCACAGCCUGCCCACUACCUGCCCCUGUACAAAGGAACGUUCUCCUCACCCAAGUCCCGGCCCGACCAAUGGCUCAACAUCAGAAACCAAUGGGAUUUUAUCGGCAGAAGGCAUGAACAUCUCUUCUGCUACUGUGCCCUAAAGGCCAUUAAAAUGUGACCUCCCAAACUCUUCUCUAGAAAUAGGACUCAGUACUUAGUACAGAGUGCUUUGCACACAGCUGGUGCUUUAAAAAUGUAUUCUCGUUUAUUCAUUUUAGUGAGCUGCACAAUGAGAGGCUGUGGGAAAUAGUGGAAUCAGGAAGUGAUGGGUUCAAAUUCUGACUCAGAUAUUUACUUGCUGGCUGACCCUGGGAAAGUCACUUCACUUCGUUUUACCUGUAAAAUAAAGGCUCUCGGGAUCCAAAUGUAGCCCAUUUAUCUAAA
Phascolarctos cinereus (koala) is the source of this 1070-nucleotide long non-coding RNA. RefSeq lists it as uncharacterized. The record is from RefSeq and is a predicted model, not a curated record. Lineage: Eukaryota; Metazoa; Chordata; Mammalia; Diprotodontia; Phascolarctidae.